UACGUAGGGUGCGAGCGUUAAUCGGAAUUACUGGGCGUAAAGAGUGCGUAGGCGGUUCUUGAAGUCCGCUGUGAAAGCCCCGGGCUUAACCUGGGAAUGGCAGUGGAAACUGGAGGACUUGAAUUGAGCAGAGGGGGGUGGAAUGCCGCGUGUAGCAGUGAAAUGCGUAGAUAUCAGGAGGAACACCGAUGGCGAAGGCAGGUCUCUGGGCUGACACUGACGCUCAUGCACGAAAGCGUGGGGAGCAAACAGG
Molecule: ribosomal RNA, 253 nt
Filed under: uncultured bacterium
Lineage: Bacteria
Description: partial 16S ribosomal RNA
Rfam family: Bacterial small subunit ribosomal RNA
Source: RNAcentral